Molecule: ribosomal RNA, 405 nt
Filed under: uncultured bacterium
Lineage: Bacteria
Description: bacterial SSU rRNA
Rfam family: Bacterial small subunit ribosomal RNA
Source: RNAcentral
UGGGGAAUCUUGCGCAAUGGUCGAAAGACUGAUGCAGCGACGCCGCGUGAGGGAUGACGGCCUUCGGGUUGUAAACCUCUUUCAGCAGGGAAAAAGCGAAAGUGACGGUACCUGCAGAAGAAGCGCCGGCUAACUACGUGCCAGCAGCCGCGGUAAUACGUAGGGCGCGAGCGUUGUCCGGAAUUAUUGGGCGUAAAGAGCUCGUAGGCGGUCUGUCGCGUCGGAUGUGAAAGCCCGGGGCUUAACCCCGGGUCUGCAUUCGAUACGGGCAGACUAGAGUGUGGUAGGGGAGAUCGGAAUUCCUGGUGUAGCGGUGAAAUGCGCAGAUAUCAGGAGGAACACCGGUGGCGAAGGCGGAUCUCUGGGCCAUUACUGACGCUGAGGAGCGAAAGCGUGGGGAGCGAA